RNAcentral lists this ribosomal RNA (164 nucleotides) under uncultured bacterium. RNAcentral describes it as "partial 16S rRNA". It matches the Rfam family "Bacterial small subunit ribosomal RNA", at positions 355 to 511 of the family's 1533-position model. The record is from RNAcentral.
UAGGGAAUCUUCCACAAUGGGCGCAAGCCUGAUGGAGCAACACCGCGUGAGUGAAGAAGGGUUUCGGCUCGUAAAGCUCUGUUGUUAGAGAAGAACGUGCGUGAGAGCAACUGUUCACGCAGUGACGGUAUCUAACCAGAAAGUCACGGCUAACUACGUGCCUG